This 72-nucleotide transfer RNA is filed under the name Phaeocystis globosa. RNAcentral describes it as "tRNA-Glu". It matches the Rfam family "tRNA". Rfam says of the family: Transfer RNA (tRNA) molecules are approximately 80 nucleotides in length. Their secondary structure includes four short double-helical elements and three loops (D, anti-codon, and T loops). Further hydrogen bonds mediate the characteristic L-shaped molecular structure. tRNAs have two regions of fundamental functional importance: the anti-codon, which is responsible for specific mRNA codon recognition, and the 3' end, to which the tRNAs corresponding amino acid is attached (by aminoacyl-tRNA synthetases). tRNAs cope with the degeneracy of the genetic code in two manners: having more than one tRNA (with a specific anti-codon) for a particular amino acid; and 'wobble' base-pairing, i.e. permitting non-standard base-pairing at the 3rd anti-codon position. The record is from RNAcentral. Lineage: Eukaryota; Haptophyta; Phaeocystales; Phaeocystaceae.
UUUUUCUUCGUCUAACGGUUAGGACAGAGUUUUUUCAUUACUCAAAUAAAGGUUCAAAUCCUUUAGAAAAUA